RNA transcript from Rhipicephalus microplus (southern cattle tick), 3617 nucleotides. It is a transcript of the gene named mediator of RNA polymerase II transcription subunit 27, with no coding region annotated. The record is from RefSeq and is a predicted model, not a curated record. Lineage: Eukaryota; Metazoa; Arthropoda; Arachnida; Ixodida; Ixodidae.
UCUAGUGUCCCCGCACAGAACACCAACACAGUCCCUGUAUGCCGUAUAGGUGUUCGGUGGUUGAAACCUCAAUCAAGUGGUGUGUUGCGAUGUUACAGUGUUCUAUUACACUGUAGAUACGUUACGUUCUAUGAAGAAGUGCGUUGCGUGAAAGUUGCCGGCAAGAAUCAUGCACCCGUACGUUGCAGAUAUCGGAAUCAAUUUGGAUGCGGUGAACUCUGGCUUGAGAGCCGUGAAAGCCCUUCGAUGCACUGUAGGUGAAGUGUUUCGUACUUUGACGGAUGGGGUUCCGUGUUCCCAGGGUGAUGAAAAGAAAGAGAAGAAUUUUAUUCGGGAGCUUCAGGGAAUGCUAGGCGCAGUUAUCUCUCGUAUAAGGGAGUUGGAAACAGCUGUUACACUGCUUGGGUCUCCUAAUGCACCUCUCAGCCUGGGAAGCACUGGCCACCUGUGUCAAGAUCCAACUUUGGACAGGACAUCCUUGUAUACAGACAUGAUUAAGUCAUAUCGGUGGUUUGACAAAGUUCAUGAGCACACAAGCCAUGCAUCGGCAAUUUUAACCCAGAAUGGACUGAAAAGAUCUAACAGCUCGUUAUUUCCAACAAAACGGUUAAGAAGACCACAUAGCAAUGGCCACAAUUUUUCUCCUCAGAAUGUGGAUGCAUUCAUCAGCAGUUUACAAAGGCAAUUCGUGGACAUGUCGAUUGAGAUUCUCAGGCCAUGUGGCAACUCUGCUGUUCUAAAGAUUACACUAAGCCGGACCAUGAGAGCACUGGUGUGUCUUCGGGGCCUUAUCAUUGAAUGGGUGCUGGUGAAGGCAUUCAAUGAAGACUUCUAUACUGAUGACGACCAGCUUGACAUGUGGUCGAAGUCUCGGUACCGAGUUUUUCAUAAGGUAACGGAACAUGCCAAUGCAGCAAUGCUUCAUUUCUUUUCUCCACAACUGCCGGACUUGGCCGUCAAAUCCUUUCUGCAGACGUGGCUCCACAGUUACCUGCAUUUGUUCUCAGCGUUUUGCCGCAGGUGUGGCACACGACUACAGCAUAGCAUGCCUCCAACAUGGAGGGACUUGCGCAACUUAGACGUUUACCAUGAAACCUGCAGGCCGUGAUCAUUCUACUGACAAUCUUGUGCUGUGCGCAUCUGAUUAUGUAGCCUGUGCACUUUUGAUUUCAUGGGACUUAUUUGCCACAAUAGCAUGUGUGAGCUGCAAACCACAGCGCCAAAGGCUUUUCAGGCAUUGCUCGAAAUUUAUCUCCUCCUGCUUGCCAAACCUUGAAAUCAUUGCCAAGAUUGUUUUGUUUCACAUGUACCAGCACUGCUUGUGUGCACAUGGGCAUCACCUUCCGUAAAUUUUACCUUGGAUCAAUGUCUCAAUUGAAAAACUGUCAAUGAAUGUAGAGGAGGUAUAAUAACUUUAUUAAAAUAUUGGCUGCAAUUUAAGGCUUCUCUUAUACACCCACUGGUGUCACGGUGGGGAGUUCUAGGGAGGGGUUGUACAGUGUCGGUGGCCUUGUCCUUAGCAGUGUGUAGAAUAUUUGAGUGAUGCUGUCAAUUUGAUCAGUUUGUAAAAAUCAACGACCAAUGAAUAUUACGUAUGCUAAUAUGUUGUGUGGACUGUGACGUGCAAAAUUGGUCAUGUGCUUUGUUUAUUUAAUUUCGUGGGUUAUUCCUACAAAAUUUGGUAAAAAUGGCUGGUGAACUUCAGUUCAAGAGAAUAAAUAAAAGCAAAUGGCUGAGAUCCUUUGUGUUGGAUUCAUCUAAGGCAAGGUAACUUGAAUUUGUCAUAAUAGAUAUCCCGACUGUUAUCCUGACGUUAAAUUUAGUUAAAUUGGCAUCAAGAACUUGCCUAAUUUAUAAAUAACUUGUAAAAUUUGACACCUUCAUUUUGUUCAGUGACUUGCUGCAGAAAAGCACAGCAGGAAUACAUGUUCUCAGUAGAUGAGUUGUCAAUGGUCAAGUAGCCACUUUCACUACCAUUGCCUUCCAGUCCUAAAUAAGAAACAUUGAAUGAAGGUCGAACUUGGUCAGUUGUGUUGCCACAUGCACAUAAAUUGUCAGCAGUCGCGCAUUACCAGAUUUUAAUGGAAACUAACAGACUAAUUUCUGUUUUUUCUUGUUAAUAAUUGAUCUAACGAGAAAACGAGCUGUUAAAUUUGCACUUUACUUCAAUUACUGGAUCUUGCUUUUGUGUUGCUUUUUUUAUUUGGUCACAUGUUCUUGUCGAUGCAGUAUUCAGUUUAUAAAAGGAAACUUGUGCACUUGUUAUCAUCUAUACAUAAAAAUACUGCUCGAGAGUGCAUGUUCAUCUCCCAGCCACAGCACUGCAUUUCACCGGAGGUGAAAUGCAAAGAACAUCUCUGUGCUUAGACUUAGUUGCACAUUGAAAAACCCCAGGUAGUUAAACUUAAUUCAGAGUCUCGAUCUCAGGGGCGCCUCAUAAUCAUAGUUUCGGUGCAUAAAAUUUGAGCACUUAUUUGAAAAACAAAUAUCAAGAUGUUUGGAUGUGAAAUUUCGCCUGCACUGUGAACUGAAUUCCAUGCAUGAAAACUGAAUCUGACAAUUCCGCAUGCUGUGGUGCCUUCUCCUACAUGCACGCUUGAGUGCAAUAAACUGAGUGUCUGCUAAUACAAUAGGGAUAUACGAAGGAGGAAAAAUAAGAAACUGUUGUGAAUCUGUUUUUGAUAAAACUUUUAUUUACCUCUCACUUUUUUUUUCUUUUUUUUUGUCAUAAAAAGGGAAGUAAUAUCUUACGGUAGUCUUCUGUCGAUUCUGGUUCCUGCAUGGAGAAAUUUGAAAAAUGCUAUUAUGAACUUGUUAAUAAGGUACCAAAAAGAAACACUGAGCAUUGAUCAAGCACUUGAUGAAUUUUGUAGCAAGAUUGUGUUUACAAUACAAGAAGUAAUAAAAAAAUAAAUUUUGGGUGAAAAUCACAGCAGUAGCAAACAGUUCGAUGUUUUGGAUUCUAUGUAGUAUCAUAUUUAGAUCCUUAUGGUGCAGUAAACAUUCUUGAAAGUUGGCAAGUCAAGUCUAUGGCUCUCUUUGAAUACAAUAUAUGAAAUCUUUUGCAGUAAAAGAAAUUGCUGACUGGUCCCGGACAUACACUGUAGAAAACUGGCAUUUGCACUGGUUGGCACAGGAGCUCAAAAGUAAUGCACUCGUUUUUGGCUCUUGUGCGUCUUCUGGCUUUUCAAGCUUUCUCUAACACUAGGAGAGGUUUCAUGUGUAAUCUAGCAUGACGUGACUAAGCUGAUCUGCUCUUUCUUUUUAGAAUCCAUUUAAUGCAUGAGAACUUGGAUAAAUAUGAAGGCAUCAGGGAUGAAAAGAUGGUAUUUAACUUACGCAAGCCCCUUUGUCAUUCCGUAGGACUGCACUAGACCAGUAGUACGUAGGCUUGGUCUCCUGCACGUAGGUGCCUCAUCAAAUAAUCAAUGUCUGCAAGCACUGUGUUUGUUGCACACGAGAAUGCAACUUUCAGAUUUUAAUCAAAACACCAAGGAUCAAAGGUUUGUUAUUUACUCACCUUUUGCUUCAUCACUUCUGGGUUAGCACACCUCCACUCGUCCUGCCCCUGUUCAUAUUUUCAUCAAAAAAAAUAAAAAAAGAGUAGUCACUCAAAA